UAUAUUUAAUCUAGCAACAGCAUUGUGAAAUUUUAUAAAGAUGCGUUUGGUCAUUAACUUUUAAAUGCGUCAUUAUGCAAACAUGAGGAGAGUUCUUCGCAUGAAAGACCAAUGACUGUGCACUCAAUGUGCUGCUACUUUUCUCUCCGAGUCCGAAAUGGAGCAGAAGGGACGUUUGGACCUACUGCCAGCAGGCUGUAACAGACAGAUGGGUUUUCACACAAACAACAGAAAACAUCAAGAGCAGUCAGGCUGGCACACACAGAAGAAUCAGCAAAGGGAAGAAAGUCUGGAUAAUGAGACACUGCUAGCAUGAGAUGAUAAUUCACUCUGUGCUGUGAGAAGACAAACUGUCCAGUCCAUUUAGAGUUCAACUCCAUAGUUACAAAGCCAUAUGCAGAUGGCGGCCAAACGUCAGAAUCCUGUUGAUAUCAAGUUAUCCAAACCGCACACCAAUGAAGUUUUGAACUCGAAGGACAAUUCUGAGAAAAAAGGGUGUUUCACUCCUGUACCUUCCCAACGAUGGGCAGGUCCACUGAACCCCAUGUGUCAGCACCCCAAUGGACCAGACCAGAGGCAAAGUCUGCUGUGAGGAUCCCUGCCACUUCACACACACACACACACACACACA
Molecule: long non-coding RNA, 631 nt
Organism: Ctenopharyngodon idella (grass carp)
Lineage: Eukaryota; Metazoa; Chordata; Actinopteri; Cypriniformes; Xenocyprididae
Exons: 4
Source: RefSeq, a predicted model, not a curated record